AUUGAACGCUGGCGGCGUGCCUUACACAUGCAAGUCGAACGGCAGCACGGGUGCUUGCACCUGGUGGCGAGUGGCGAACGGGUGAGUAAUACAUCGGAACGUACCUUAUCGUGGGGGAUAACGCAGCGAAAGCUGUGCUAAUACCGCAUACGCCCUGAGGGGGCAAGCGGGGGAUCGCAAGACCUCGCGCGAUUAGAGCGGCCGAUGCCUGAUUAGCUUGUUGGUGGGGUAAAAGCCCACCAAGGCGACGAUCAGUAGCUGGUCUGAGAGGACGAUCAGCCACACUGGGACUGAGACACGGCCCAGACUCCUACGGGAGGCAGCAGUGGGGAAUUUUGGGCAAUGGGGGCAACCCUGAUCCAGCAAUGCCGCGUGAGUGAAGAAGGCCUUCGGGUUGUAAAGCUCUUUUGUCAGGGAAGAAACACCGGCUCUAACACAGUCCGGGAAUGACGGUACCUGAAGAAUAAGCACCGGCUAACUACGUGCCAGCCGCCGCAGUAA
This 501-nucleotide ribosomal RNA is filed under the name uncultured bacterium. RNAcentral describes it as "partial 16S ribosomal RNA". It matches the Rfam family "Bacterial small subunit ribosomal RNA", at positions 29 to 523 of the family's 1533-position model. The record is from RNAcentral.